UGAGGAAUAUUGGUCAAUGGGCGGGAGCCUGAACCAGCCAAGCCGCGUGAGGGAAGAAGGCCCUAUGGGUCGUAAACCUCUUUUGUCAGGGAACAAAAGCGAGUAUGUAUACUGGUCUGACUGUACCUGAAGAAAAAGCAUCGGCUAACUCCGUGCCAGCAGCCGCGGUAAUACGGAGGAUGCGAGCGUUAUCCGGAUUUAUUGGGUUUAAAGGGUGCGUAGGCGGCGGUGCAAGUCAGCGGUAAAAGCCCGGGGCUCAACCCCGGCGAGCCGUUGAAACUGCAGUGCUAGAGAAGGCGAGAGGUACGCGGAAUGCGCAGUGUAGCGGUGAAAUGCUUAGAUAUUGCGCAGAACUCCGAUUGCGGAGGCAGCGUACUGGCGCCUGACUGACGCUGAGGCACGAAAGCGUGGGGAUCGAACAGGAUUAGAUACC
Molecule: ribosomal RNA, 433 nt
Filed under: uncultured bacterium
Lineage: Bacteria
Description: bacterial SSU rRNA
Rfam family: Bacterial small subunit ribosomal RNA
Source: RNAcentral